Molecule: ribosomal RNA, 253 nt
Filed under: uncultured bacterium
Lineage: Bacteria
Description: partial 16S ribosomal RNA
Rfam family: Bacterial small subunit ribosomal RNA
Source: RNAcentral
UACAGGGGGGGCAAGCGUUGUUCGGAAUUACUGGGCGUAAAGGGCUCGUAGGUGGCCGACUAAGUCAGACGUGAAAUCCCUCGGCUUAACCGGGGAACUGCGUCUGAUACUGGAUGGCUUGAGUUCGGGAGAGGGAUGCGGAAUUCCAGGUGUAGCGGUGAAAUGCGUAGAUAUCUGGAGGAACACCGGUGGCGAAGGCGGCAUCCUGGACCGAUACUGACGCUGAGGAGCGAAAGCCAGGGGAGCAAACAGG